RNAcentral lists this ribosomal RNA (330 nucleotides) under Escherichia coli. RNAcentral describes it as "bacterial SSU rRNA". It matches the Rfam family "Bacterial small subunit ribosomal RNA", at positions 1 to 325 of the family's 1533-position model. Lineage: Bacteria; Pseudomonadati; Pseudomonadota; Gammaproteobacteria; Enterobacterales; Enterobacteriaceae. The record is from RNAcentral.
UUAAAUUGAAGAGUUUGAUCAUGGCUCAGAUUGAACGCUGGCGGCAGGCCUAACACAUGCAAGUCGAACGGUAACAGGAAGCAGCUUGCUGCUUCGCUGACGAGUGGCGGACGGGUGAGUAAUGUCUGGGAAACUGCCUGAUGGAGGGGGAUAACUACUGGAAACGGUAGCUAAUACCGCAUAACGUCGCAAGACCAAAGAGGGGGACCUUCGGGCCUCUUGCCAUCGGAUGUGCCCAGAUGGGAUUAGCUAGUCGGUGGGGUAACGGCUCACCUAGGAGACGAUCCCUAGCUGGUCUGAGAGGAUGACCAGCCACACUGGAACUGAGAC